Molecule: ribosomal RNA, 642 nt
Filed under: Trichosporon asahii
Lineage: Eukaryota; Fungi; Basidiomycota; Tremellomycetes; Trichosporonales; Trichosporonaceae
Description: eukaryotic LSU rRNA
Rfam family: Eukaryotic large subunit ribosomal RNA
Source: RNAcentral
UGCAUUUUUCCAAAAGCGGAGGAAAAGAAACUAACAAGGAUUCCCCUAGUAACGGCGAGUGAAGCGGGAAGAGCUCAAAUUUGAAAUCUGGCAGUCUUCGAUUGUCCGAGUUGUAAUCUAUAGAGGCGUUUUCCGUGCCGGACCGUGUCCAAGGCUCCUGGAAAGGAGUAUCAAAGAGGGUGAUAAUCCCGUACUUAACACGACCACCGGUGCUCUGUGAUACGUCUUCUACGAGUCGAGUUGUUUGGGAAUGCAGCUCAAAAUGGGUGGUGAAUUCCAUCUAAAGCUAAAUAUUGGCGAGAGACCGAUAGCGAACAAGUACCGUGAGGGAAAGAUGAAAAGCACUUUGGAAAGAGAGUUAAACAGUACGUGAAAUUGUUGAAAGGGAAACGAUUGAAGUCAGUCGUGUUCUUUGGAUUCAGCCAGUUCUGCUGGUCUACUUCCUUGGAACGGGUCAACAUCAGUUUUGUCCGGUGGAUAAAGGUAGUAGGAAUGUGACUUCUCCGGAAGUGUUAUAGCCUAUUAUCACAUACACUGGGUGAGACUGAGGACUGCAGCUCGCCUUUAUGGCCGGCCUUCGGGCACGUUCGAGCUUAGGAUGUUGACAUAAUGGCUUUAAACGACCCGUCUUGACCCCCGGAC